RNAcentral lists this transfer RNA (32 nucleotides) under Monanthotaxis mcphersonii. RNAcentral's name for it is "Monanthotaxis sp. PH-2018b partial tRNA-His". Lineage: Eukaryota; Viridiplantae; Streptophyta; Magnoliopsida; Magnoliales; Annonaceae. The record is from RNAcentral.
GGCGGAUGUAGCCAAGUGGCUCAAGGCAGUGG